RNAcentral lists this long non-coding RNA (513 nucleotides) under Linum usitatissimum (flax). RNAcentral's name for it is "long non-coding RNA (LUSI_LNC007650)". The record is from RNAcentral. Lineage: Eukaryota; Viridiplantae; Streptophyta; Magnoliopsida; Malpighiales; Linaceae.
GAAAAUUGGGUAGAAUUAGAAACUAGAAAGUAAGGGAAAGAUUUGAGCUUUGAAGGGAAACUGAGAAGAGGGAAUUCGGAUUUGAGGUUUUAAUAGAUUGGGUUAAUGAUGUUCAUGGGGACGGUGAGUGAGUUUGUGAGUGCAGAGGGGCCGGGGGGGGAGGGGAGGGGGAGAGAAAGAGAGGAUUCCCGGCGCCAGAGCAGCCAUUGAUAGGAGCUUUGGGAAAAUUGGGUAGAAUUAGAAACUAGAAAGUAAGGGAAAGAUUUGAGCUUUGAAGGGAAACUGAGAAGAGGGAAUUCGGAUUUGAGGUUUUAAUAGAUUGGGUUAAUGAUGUUCAUGGGGACGGUGAGUGAGUUAGUGAGUGCAGAGUGGCCGUUGGCAACGGUAAGGAAUAGAGAAAGAGAGAUAAAGAACUUCAAAAAGAGGGAGAUUUUGGAACGUUGCGGCAACGGUAACAUAAGUGUAUGAAUGGGGUAGAUGGAUUCUUUAUUUGGAUAAUGAAUUGGAAGAAUU